GGGGAAUAUUGCACAAUGGGCGCAAGCCUGAUGCAGCAACGCCGCGUGAAGGAAGAAGGCCUUUGGGUCGUAAACUUCUGUCCUAGGGGAAGAUAAUGACGGUACCCUUGGAGGAAGCCCCGGCUAACUACGUGCCAGCAGCCGCGGUAAUACGUAGGGGGCAAGCGUUAUCCGGAAUUAUUGGGCGUAAAGAGUGCGUAGGCGGUUUCUUAAGCGUGGGGUGAAAGGCUAUGGCUUAACCAUAGUUAGCCCCGCGAACUGGGAGACUUGAGUGCAGGAGAGGAAAGCGGAAUUCCUAGUGUAGCGGUGAAAUGCGUAGAUAUUAGGAGGAACACCAGUGGCGAAGGCGGCUUUCUGGACUGUAACUGACGCUGAGGCACGAAAGCGUGGGGAGCAAACAGGAUUAGAUACCCUGGUAGU
Molecule: ribosomal RNA, 420 nt
Filed under: uncultured Anaerovorax sp.
Lineage: Bacteria; Bacillati; Bacillota; Clostridia; Peptostreptococcales; Anaerovoracaceae
Description: bacterial SSU rRNA
Rfam family: Bacterial small subunit ribosomal RNA
Source: RNAcentral